This 346-nucleotide ribosomal RNA is filed under the name uncultured bacterium. RNAcentral's name for it is "partial 16S ribosomal RNA". It matches the Rfam family "Bacterial small subunit ribosomal RNA", at positions 338 to 681 of the family's 1533-position model. The record is from RNAcentral.
CCUACGGGAGGCAGCAGUGAGGAAUAUUGGUCAAUGGGCGCGAGCCUGAACCAGCCAAGUAGCGUGAAGGAUGACUGCCCUACGGGUUGUAAACUUCUUUUAUAAAGGAAUAAAGUGUGGCACGUGUGGGUUUUUGUAUGUACCAUAUGAAUAAGGAUCGGCUAACUCCGUGCCAGCAGCCGCGGUAAUACGGAGGUUCCGAGCGUUAUCCGGAUUUAUUGGGUUUAAAGGGAGCGUAGCUGGGUUGUUAAGUCAGUUGUGAAAGUUUGCGGCUCAACCGUAAAAUUGCACUUCAUACUGGCAGUCUUGAGUACAGUUGAGGUCGGCGGAAUUCGUGGUGUCGCGG